RNAcentral lists this ribosomal RNA (395 nucleotides) under uncultured bacterium. RNAcentral's name for it is "bacterial SSU rRNA". It matches the Rfam family "Bacterial small subunit ribosomal RNA", at positions 505 to 898 of the family's 1533-position model. The record is from RNAcentral.
GUGCCAGCCGCCGCGGUAAUACGUAGGGGGCGAGCGUUGUCCGGAUUUACUGGGCGUAAAGAGCGCGUAGGCGGCUCGUUAAGUUGGCUGUAAAAGGCUCUGGCUUAACCAGGGUAAGUCGGCCGAAACUGGCGGGCUCGAGGACGGUAGAGGAAGGUGGAAUUCCUGGUGUAGUGGUGAAAUGCGUAGAGAUCAGGAGGAACACCGGUGGCGAAGGCGGCCUUCUGGGCCGUUCCUGACGCUGAGGCGCGAAAGCGUGGGGAGCGAACUGAAUUAGAUACUCAGGUAGUCCACGCUGUAAACAAUGGACGCUAGGUGUGGGGGGUAUCGACCCCUCCCGUGCCGAAGCUAACGCAUUAAGCGUCCCGCCUGGGGAGUACGGCCGCAAGGCUAAA